AAAAUGUUGGAGGGAGAGAGAUGAAAGAGAAAGGGAUGAGAGGAAUGAAGGAGGUGAAUAAGGGUUUGGGUUUUUUUUAGUUUUGAGAAUGAAAAUUAUUUAAAUAUCCUUCACCUUAAAACUAAGAAUUCAUGAUAAACGAGGGUAUUUUUGUCUAUUAUAAUCUGGUACACAUUGUUAAAACGUACCAACUGAAAAACAGGCGUAAGCGUGUUAAC
This 218-nucleotide long non-coding RNA is filed under the name Vigna radiata. RNAcentral describes it as "long non-coding RNA (VRAD_LNC011032)". Lineage: Eukaryota; Viridiplantae; Streptophyta; Magnoliopsida; Fabales; Fabaceae. The record is from RNAcentral.